This 527-nucleotide ribosomal RNA is filed under the name uncultured bacterium. RNAcentral describes it as "bacterial SSU rRNA". It matches the Rfam family "Bacterial small subunit ribosomal RNA", at positions 355 to 895 of the family's 1533-position model. The record is from RNAcentral.
UGGGGAAUAUUGCACAAUGGGCGGAAGCCUGAUGCAGCGACCCGCGUGGGGGAUGAAGGCCUUCGGGUUGUAAACUCCUUUCGACAGGGACGAAGCUUUUGUGACGGUACCUGUAUAAGAAGCACCGGCUAACUACGUGCCAGCAGCCGCGGUAAUACGUAGGGUGCGAGCGUUGUCCGGAAUUACUGGCCGUAAAGAGCAAGUAGGUGGUUUGUCGCGUCGUCUGUGAAAUUCCGGGGCUUAACUCCGGGCGUGCAGGCGAUACGGGCUGACUUGAGUGCUGUAGGGGAGACUGGAAUUCCUGGUGUAGCGGUGAAAUGCGCAGAUAUCAGGAGGAACACCGAUGGCGAAGGCAGGUCUCUGGGCAGUAACUGACGCUGAGGAGCGAAAGCUUGGGUAGCGAACAGGAUUAGAUACCCUGGUAGUCCAUGCCGUAAACGGUGGGCGCUAGGUGUAGGGGGCUUCCACGUCUUCUGUGCCGUAGCUAGCGCAUUAAGCGCCCCGCCUGGGAGUACGGCCGCAAGUCU